Molecule: long non-coding RNA, 396 nt
Organism: Clupea harengus (Atlantic herring)
Lineage: Eukaryota; Metazoa; Chordata; Actinopteri; Clupeiformes; Clupeidae
Source: Ensembl
GAGAUGGAGAAAGUAAUCGAGACUGGAACCCUACAGUCCCUGACAGAAAUCGACACAUGUAACUCUAACUCACCAAAUACAUCUUCGGAACUGAUGACUCAGCUGACGUCUGUCUUGGAAGUGCUGGCAAAGGAAGCAGUGGACAAAAUCUGUAGGCUUGUAAGUGAAGGCCAGUGCGGCAGUCCGGUGGAGCAGGAAACAUUGAAGGGAAAUUUUGAACGAAUGGACCAAGGGUUUAGGACUGCACUCAAAAAAAUCAACGGGCCUGAGGCAUAUCAACAGUAUUCAGAUCAAUUCUACAGAAAAGUUCACUCCCCUAACCAACAAAAAAGUGAGCAGGACAUUCACAUUUUGUCAAGCUUAGUAAUAGCUAAAGCUUAGUCAGUAAUAGUGAAC